GACGAACGCUGGCGGCGUGCUUAACACAUGCAAGUCGAACGGAAAGGCCCUGCUUUUGUGGGGUGCUCGAUUGGCGAACGGGUGAGUAACACGUGAGUAACCUGCCCUUGACUUUGGGAUAACUUCAGGGAACUGGGGCUCAUACCGGGUAGGAGCUCCUGCUGCAUGGUGGGGGUUGGAAAGUUUCGGCGUUUGGGGAUGGACUCGCGGCUUAUCAGCUUGUUUGUGGGGUAGUGGCUUACCCAGGCUUUGACGGGUAGCCGGCCUGAGAGGGUGAGCGGCGACAUUGGGACUGAGAUACGGCCCAGACUCCUAAGGGAGGCAGCAGUGGGGAAGAUUGCACAAGGGGCGGAAGCCUGAUGAAGAAACGCCGCGUGCGGGAUGACGGCCUUAGGGUUGUAAACCGAUUUCGCCUGUGACGAAGCGUGAGUGAAGGUAAUGGGUAAAGAAGCACAGGCUAACUACGUG
RNAcentral lists this ribosomal RNA (468 nucleotides) under uncultured bacterium. Its description in RNAcentral is "partial 16S ribosomal RNA". It matches the Rfam family "Bacterial small subunit ribosomal RNA", at positions 28 to 507 of the family's 1533-position model. The record is from RNAcentral.